GAUCCUGGCUCAGGAUGAACGCUAGCGAUAGGCUUAACACAUGCAAGUCGAGGGGCAGCAUGGUCUUAGCUUGCUAAGGCUGAUGGCGACCGGCGCACGGGUGCGUAACGCGUAUGCAACUUGCCUCACAGAGGGGGAUAACCCGUCGAAAGACGGACUAAUACCGCGUACACUCCAUCUUGGGCAUCCAGGCUAGAGGAAAUGAAAUUCGCUGUGAGAUAGGC
RNAcentral lists this ribosomal RNA (224 nucleotides) under uncultured bacterium. RNAcentral describes it as "partial 16S ribosomal RNA". It matches the Rfam family "Bacterial small subunit ribosomal RNA", at positions 15 to 230 of the family's 1533-position model. The record is from RNAcentral.